Molecule: ribosomal RNA, 451 nt
Filed under: uncultured bacterium
Lineage: Bacteria
Description: partial 16S ribosomal RNA
Rfam family: Bacterial small subunit ribosomal RNA
Source: RNAcentral
UUGCCAGACUCCUACGGGAGGCAGCAGUCGGGAAUAUUGCGCAAUGGAGGAAACUCUGACGCAGUGACGCCGCGUGCAGGAAGAAGGUUUUCGGAUUGUAAACUGCUUUAGACAGGGAAGAAAAAAGACAGUACCUGUAGAAUAAGCUCCGGCUAACUACGUGCCAGCAGCCGCGGUAAUACGUAGGGAGCGAGCGUUAUCCGGAUUUAUUGGGUGUAAAGGGUGCGUAGACGGGAAGUUAAGUUAGUUGUGAAAUCCCAAGGCUCAACUUUGGAACUGCAACUAAAACUAAUUUUCUUGAGUACUGGAGAGGAAAGUGGAAUUCCUAGUGUAGCGGUGAAAUGCGUAGAUAUUAGGAGGAACACCAGUGGCGAAGGCGACUUUCUGGACAGAAACUGACGUUGAGGCACGAAAGUGUGGGGAGCAAACAGGAUUAGAUACCCCGGUAAUA